RNAcentral lists this ribosomal RNA (725 nucleotides) under Helicodendron triglitziense. Its description in RNAcentral is "LSU rRNA". It matches the Rfam family "Eukaryotic large subunit ribosomal RNA", at positions 197 to 939 of the family's 3401-position model. Lineage: Eukaryota; Fungi; Ascomycota; Leotiomycetes; Helotiales; Helotiaceae. The record is from RNAcentral.
AGGACGUCAUAGAGGGUGAGAAUCCCGUAUGUGACUGGGUGUCCACGCCCGUGUAAAGCUCUUUCGACGAGUCGAGUUGUUUGGGAAUGCAGCUCAAAAUGGGUGGUAAAUUUCAUCUAAAGCUAAAUAUUGGCCAGAGACCGAUAGCGCACAAGUAGAGUGAUCGAAAGAUGAAAAGCACUUUGGAAAGAGAGUUAAACAGUACGUGAAAUUGUUGAAAGGGAAGCGCUUGCAAUCAGACUUGCGCGCCGUUGAUCAUCCAGGGUUCUCUCUGGUGCACUCUGCGGCGCUCAGGCCAGCAUCGGUUCGGGUGGUGGGAUAAAGGCCUUGGGAAUGUAGCUCCUCUCGGGGAGUGUUAUAGCCCUCGGUGCAAUGCCGCCUACCUGGACCGAGGACCGCGCUUCGGCUAGGAUGCUGGCGUAAUGGUUGUAAGCGACCCGUCUUGAAACACGGACCAAGGAGUCUAACAUCUAUGCGAGUGUUUGGGUGUCAAACCCAUGCGCGUAAUGAAAGUGAACGUUGGUAUGAACCCUUAAGGGUGCAAUAUCGACCGAUCCUGAUGUCUUCGGACGGAUUUGAGUAUGAGCAUAGCUGUUGGGACCCGAAAGAUGGUGAACUAUGCCUGAAUAGGGUGAAGCCAGAGGAAACUCUGGUGGAGGCUCGCAGCGGUUCUGACGUGCAAAUCGAUCGUCAAAUUUGGGUAUAGGGGCGAAAGACUAAUCGAA